AUUGAACGCUGGCGGCAUGCUUAAGACAUGCAAGUCGAACGGUAACGAUGGUAGCUUGCUAUCAGGCGACGAGUGGCGGACGGGUGAGUACAACUUAGGAAUCUGCCUAGUAGCUGGGGAUAACUUUAAGAAAUUGAAGCUAAUACCGAAUACGCCCUACGGGGGAAAGCGGGGGAUCUUCGGACCUCGCACUAUUAGAUGAGCCUAAGCCGGAUUAGCUAGUUGGUGGGGUAAAGGCCUACCAAGGCGACGAUCCGUAGCUGUUCUGAGAGGAAGAUCAGCCACACUGGGACUGAGACACGGCCCAGACUCCUACGGGAGGCAGCAGUCGGGAAUAUUGGACAAUGGGGGCAACCCUGAUCCAGCAAUGCCGCGUGUGUGAAGAAGGCCUGCGGGUUGUAAAGCACUUUCAAAUGUGAAGAAAUAUCGAGUGUUAAUAGCACUAGGUCUUGACGUUAACAUUAGAAGAAGCACCGGCUAAUUUAG
RNAcentral lists this ribosomal RNA (486 nucleotides) under uncultured Gammaproteobacteria bacterium. Its description in RNAcentral is "bacterial SSU rRNA". It matches the Rfam family "Bacterial small subunit ribosomal RNA", at positions 30 to 505 of the family's 1533-position model. Lineage: Bacteria; Pseudomonadati; Pseudomonadota; Gammaproteobacteria. The record is from RNAcentral.